GCCCUCAUGGCUCAGGGGUAGAGCGUCGCACUCGUACUUCGAGUACAUGCGAAGGUCCGUCGUUCAAAUCGGCGUGAGGGCA
This 82-nucleotide transfer RNA is filed under the name Trichodelitschia bisporula. It matches the Rfam family "tRNA". From Rfam's summary of the family: Transfer RNA (tRNA) molecules are approximately 80 nucleotides in length. Their secondary structure includes four short double-helical elements and three loops (D, anti-codon, and T loops). Lineage: Eukaryota; Fungi; Ascomycota; Dothideomycetes; Phaeotrichales; Phaeotrichaceae. The record is from Rfam by way of RNAcentral.